AUUUAGGGUGAACAAAUGCUGGUGUAUGAGCACAUUCCAAAUGGCACUUUGAUGGAUAGUCUCUCGGGAAAGUCUGGAAUCUGGAUGGAUUGGAUAAGGAGGCUUAAAGUAGCAUUAGGUGCAGCCAGGGGUCUGGCCUAUUUUCAUGAACUUGCUGACCCACCUAUCAUAACUUAUUAAAUACUAUUAUAUUACCAGCAAGAGCUUUUACAAAGAGUAUGGGCAAUCUUCUAACACUUUUUCCCAACUAGACUUUGAACCCUCUCUUCCAACACAAUAAGCCCUUUACCCUUCUUCCAUCAACAUUAAUUUAACAUUAACAUGGAAUAAAACGAACCCCACUUAUUACAAAUAAAAAAUAUAUUCUU
Glycine soja is the source of this 368-nucleotide long non-coding RNA. RefSeq lists it as uncharacterized. NCBI's taxonomy places the organism in Eukaryota, Viridiplantae, Streptophyta, Magnoliopsida, Fabales, Fabaceae. The transcript has 2 exons. The record is from RefSeq and is a predicted model, not a curated record.